RNAcentral lists this ribosomal RNA (512 nucleotides) under uncultured bacterium. RNAcentral's name for it is "bacterial SSU rRNA". It matches the Rfam family "Bacterial small subunit ribosomal RNA", at positions 34 to 518 of the family's 1533-position model. The record is from RNAcentral.
CGCUGGCGGCGUGCCUAAUACAUGCAAGUCGAACGGUCUUUCUAUGGAAGCUUGCUUCCACUGAGAAGAUAGUGGCGAACGGGUGAGUAACACGUGGGUAACCUGCCCAUAAGAGGGGGAUAACAUCCGGAAACGGGUGCUAAUACCGCAUAGUUUUCUUGAUUGCAUGAUUGAGAAAGGAAAGACGGCCUUUGUGCUGUCGCUUAUGGAUGGACCCGCGGCGUAUUAGUUAGUUGGUGAGGUAACGGCUCACCAAGACGAUGAUACGUAGCCGACCUGAGAGGGUGAUCGGCCACAUUGGGACUGAGACACGGCCCAAACUCCUACGGGAGGCAGCAGUAGGGAAUCUUCCGCAAUGGACGAAAGUCUGACGGAGCAACGCCGCGUGAGUGAAGAAGGUUUUCGGGAAUCGUAAAACUCUGUUGUCAGAGAAGAACAAGUUGGAGAGUAACUGCUCCAGCCUUGACGGUAUCUGACCAGAAAGCCACGGCUAACUACGUGCCAGCAGCAGC